Molecule: long non-coding RNA, 1223 nt
Organism: Mesocricetus auratus (golden hamster)
Lineage: Eukaryota; Metazoa; Chordata; Mammalia; Rodentia; Cricetidae
Exons: 3
Source: RefSeq, a predicted model, not a curated record
UUCAACUGUGGUGAUGCUGGGAAGUCUUAUGGAAGACACUUGGGCCCUGUGCUUCUAGGAGUGAGCUUUUGGGUGUGAUUAAGAACAAAGCGGCAUGCAGAAUCACGUGGGAGGAAAACGAGGGCCUGCUUAGCCCUUCUGGGAUAAGGGGACGUGAGAAGCACUGGAAUGAUAAAAGCGAACCUCAUGGGCCUCUCAACAUUAGACCAGAGUUAUGCAAAUGUUGGACGAAAAAUCAUAAAGGAAGUGAAAGUCCUCCAGGACUCACAUUCGGAAGGCGAGAGACAGAGCCCUCAAUAUGGACUUUAAGGCUGCCAAGAGUUCAUCCCCGCCUCCCACAAGGCCGCAUGGGAAAGCCAGGAGAGAGGCAACUGGGUUCUCAUGUGUGUGUUUUAAGGCUUGUGAUUAGUCUUUGCUAGUACCUAAAGUCUAUUUUCCCCAUAGCACUAUUAUUCUUCAACAUGCCAUUUUUAGCAAAAUAUAUUCGACGUUAGGUCAGAAAUGCUGAUACAUUUUUAUUUAAAAAAAAAAACAGUUGAGGAUUCAGACAGGCUGGAGAUUUCGGAAGAGUCGGUGUCUUCAUGUCCAGGUCCUUUCUGCUCCAUUUGCACGCCCUCCUCUGCAUCCUCACAGAGGGACCUGGCUGGCGUCUUAGUGUGUCCCUGCCUAGUGGGUCCCUGCCUGCGUCUGUAGCCUUCCUGCUCCUUCAGUUCUGCUGUGUUUAUCCUCACAGCUCCUAGUCCUCUGCCAGUAAGUUGAACUGCUUUCUUUGAUGGGAUCCUGGACAUAGCAAACCAAACCCCUCAUCUGCCACAUAAGAGAGCGUCUCAGAAGUGCUGCUUAAUGCUGAGGCUGGCCAGUCACCCCAGGGCAAGCCCGGGCCAUGGGGCCAUGGUGACGACGUCCUAGGCAUCUGCUCCCAGCUGAGACAGAGCUGCUGUGGAGGGAUUUUUCUAAGUGUUUUCUUCCUAGCACCAAGACCUCUCUCUCUCUCUCUCUCUCUCUCUCUCUCUCUCUCUCUCUCUCUCUCUCUCUCUCUCUCUCUCUCUCUCUCUCUCUCUCUCUUUUACCCCCCAUCCUGUCCCCUAGUCACUCUUCAACAAAAGAUUCAAACUUACAGGUGGGGAAUGUGCCUCAGUUGGCAGAGGGCUUAGGGAGCAUGCCUGGUGGCCUGGGUUUAAUUCCCAGCAUCAAAUAAACCAGGUGUGGUGGUAGUUAGAAGC